Molecule: ribosomal RNA, 319 nt
Filed under: Lamproderma aeneum
Lineage: Eukaryota; Evosea; Eumycetozoa; Stemonitida; Stemonitidae
Description: SSU rRNA
Rfam family: Eukaryotic small subunit ribosomal RNA
Source: RNAcentral
UCUGAAUCUGCGAACGGCUCCGCAAACCAGUUGUAAACUAUAGCAAGCAAGCCCGGGGUCGGCCUUCACGGGCUGGUUCCGGGUGAUAUGGAUAACCCUGGUAAUUCUGAGGCUAAUACAUGACCGUAAAACCUAGCUGACCGGCUUCGGCUGGGAUGCUGGGGGACGUGUGAUUUGGGCUUGGUAACACCGGGAAGGGGCGCACGUCUAGACCACGCUAUAAAGGUCGGUCUCCUCCUCGGAGGGGGUCGUCCCAGUGGCUCUUGCUGUGUGCUUCUGACCUAUCAACUAGACGGCAGCGUAAGGGACAUGCUAUGGU